This 513-nucleotide ribosomal RNA is filed under the name Fusarium oxysporum. Its description in RNAcentral is "eukaryotic LSU rRNA". The stretch from base 147 to 300 matches the Rfam family "5.8S ribosomal RNA". Lineage: Eukaryota; Fungi; Ascomycota; Sordariomycetes; Hypocreales; Nectriaceae. The record is from RNAcentral.
CUUGAAUUUAAACUCCAAACCCCUGUGACAUACCACUUGUUGCCUCGGCGGAUCAGCCCGCUCCCGGUAAAACGGGACGGCCCGCCAGAGGACCCCUAAACUCUGUUUCUAUAUGUAACUUCUGAGUAAAACCAUAAAUAAAUCAAAACUUUCAACAACGGAUCUCUUGGUUCUGGCAUCGAUGAAGAACGCAGCAAAAUGCGAUAAGUAAUGUGAAUUGCAGAAUUCAGUGAAUCAUCGAAUCUUUGAACGCACAUUGCGCCCGCCAGUAUUCUGGCGGGCAUGCCUGUUCGAGCGUCAUUUCAACCCUCAAGCACAGCUUGGUGUUGGGACUCGCGUUAAUUCGCGUUCCUCAAAUUGAUUGGCGGUCACGUCGAGCUUCCAUAGCGUAGUAGUAAAACCCUCGUUACUGGUAAUCGUCGCGGCCACGCCGUUAAACCCCAACUUCUGAAUGUUGACCUCGGAUCAGGUAGGAAUACCCGCUGAACUUAAGCAUAUCAAUAAGCGGAGGAA